This 465-nucleotide ribosomal RNA is filed under the name uncultured bacterium. Its description in RNAcentral is "partial 16S ribosomal RNA". It matches the Rfam family "Bacterial small subunit ribosomal RNA", at positions 28 to 507 of the family's 1533-position model. The record is from RNAcentral.
GAUGAACGCUGGCGGCGUGCUUAACACAUGCAAGUCGAACGGAAAGGCUCCUGCUUGCAGGGGUACUCGAGUGGCGAACGGGUGAGUAACACGUGGGCGAUCUGCCCUGCACUUCGGGAUAAGCCUGGGAAACUGGGUCUAAUACCGGAUAGGACCACAUUUUGGAUGGUGUGGUGGAAAGUUUUUCGGUGUGGGAUGAGCUCGCGGCCUAUCAGCUUGUUGGUGGGGUAAUGGCCUACCAAGGCGUCGACGGGUAGCCGGCCUGAGAGGGUGUACGGCCACAUUGGGACUGAGAUACGGCCCAGACUCCUACGGGAGGCAGCAGUGGGGAAUAUUGCACAAUGGGCGCAAGCCUGAUGCAGCGACGCCGCGUGGGGGAUGACGGCCUUCGGGUUGUAAACUCCUUUCGCUAGGGACGAAGCGCAAGUGACGGUACCUGGAGAAGAAGCACCGGCUAACUACGUG